GACGACAUUCAAAUCAUUACCAGGCAUCGUAAUCAAAAUUGUGGCAAGUAAUUUUUACCCACCGACCAACUUCAAAUAAAUUUCACAAUGUGUAACCGAAUGGGAAUAAUCAAUCAAUUACAAUCUAUUAUGUCAUCGAUUCAAUGUAAUUGCAGCGGCUAUUCUGCCCCUUGCUGUGCCCCCAAAUGUGCACCCUCGUGCUGCAACGGAAGCGGAUCAUUAGUCACAGUUUACAGUCAAGUAGCACAUAUCCAGUGACAAUAGAUUCAUACACAUGCAAUCCUCGCUGUAGGCCAGCCUCCGCGACCGAUAGCGGCGUUCGACAAAGCAACAAUAGCAUUGGGCCAUCACGAUGUUACUUGUGUACAAAAUUUCUGAUAUUCUGAAUAUUUUAAGAAAUUAUAGUAUUUAUUUCAAUUUUUAUCGUGAAGUAAUUGUUUUUGAGCAUAACGAUAUGGAAAAUUAAUCUUACUAGCUUAACUUUGAAGAAAAAAAAAUGUGAUUAUGUAAAUGAUUGUGUUUAUAUAAUUUUAACAUUUGUCAUGCAAAACGUAGCUAAAGUGAAGAUUAAGUAAAUAAUAUUGAUGGU
Molecule: long non-coding RNA, 589 nt
Organism: Vanessa atalanta (red admiral)
Lineage: Eukaryota; Metazoa; Arthropoda; Insecta; Lepidoptera; Nymphalidae
Exons: 3
Source: RefSeq, a predicted model, not a curated record